RNAcentral lists this ribosomal RNA (422 nucleotides) under uncultured bacterium. RNAcentral describes it as "bacterial SSU rRNA". It matches the Rfam family "Bacterial small subunit ribosomal RNA", at positions 355 to 774 of the family's 1533-position model. The record is from RNAcentral.
UGAGGAAUAUUGGUCAAUGGGCGGAAGCCUGAACCAGCCAUCCCGCGUGCAGGAAGACGGCCCUAUGGGUUGUAAACUGCUUUUCCAGGGGGAGAAACUUUCCGAUGUAUCGGGAUUUGACGGUACCCUGGGAAUAAGCAUCGGCUAACUCCGUGCCAGCAGCCGCGGUAAUACGGAGGAUGCGAGCGUUAUCCGGAUUUAUUGGGUUUAAAGGGUGCGUAGGCGGAUCGAUAAGUCAGUGGUGAAAACCUGCAGCUUAACUGUAGACUUGCCGUUGAUACUGUUGGUCUUGAGUAUGGUCAAGGUAGGCGGAAUGUGUAAUGUAGCGGUGAAAUGCUUAGAUAUUACACAGAAUACCGAUUGCGAAGGCAGCUUACUGGGCCAUUACUGACGCUGAGGCACGAAAGCGUGGGGAUCGAACA